CGUACAUAUAUGUAUAUUUGUAUACACAUGUACAUAUAUACACACAAAUAUAGUAUAUCUAUAAGAGAGACAGGAAAUACUGGCUUUCUGUUUGUGAUGAAAUGCAAAUUCCUUAUGUAUUUUUCCAAAAUGUUUAAAAUGAGGCUUUUGUAAUCAGAAGUAUAUAAGCCCCCUUCCCCCAAAGAAAAUGAUUAUUCUACUGCCCGUCUUGACUGUAUUCUUACUUGGGGGCAGGGUGGGUGGCGUGAACAGGGAGAGCUAAUCUCUCCUUCUUUCUGACUCAUUCCACAGUCAAUCCUUUUUCUUAUUAUUUUCCAAAGGCAUGAGGACCUUCCAUGUUCCGAAACCAUUGUCCAGAGUAUUUCUUCUGGACUAUUUUCCACUUCCUUCCAUCUGACCGGCCAGCUGUUCUGCAUUUGUAAAAGCUGGUUUCUGAUGUCAUCUCUAGGCAGGACCGCUCCCUCCCUCUCCUGCACUCCUAUACUUCGUGGCAUAUCCGCCCCAAGAUAACACUUGUCACUCUGUUUUCCAAAUUCAGUUUCAUUCAUUUGCUUCACAUGUGCACUGAGCCCACUGACUUCUUUCCCUGUCUGUUGCCAGCACUGGAGACCAAGCCUGCACGCUUUGGCCCAGACCAUCUCAUUCACCUUUUAACACAGAAUCAGGGCCAUUCUCAAGCACAACCUGGGUGAGGCUCUGUCAUUGCUUAAUGGAUCAGCUGUAUAGUAACAGCAGAAGAUAAAACAUGGCUUCCAGAUCAGCUAAAGUAUCAACAAGAAUGAAAAUGACACUUCAAAGGAUUUAAGUGAAGAGAGUGUCGUGAAGAUUAUUUGUAGAGAUGUGGGAUCAGAUGAGAAACACCCUGGGACCAGAAACAGCAGAAGCCCUAAUGCCUGCCAAAGGGCAAGACCAGGGUGAGCUCCUACCCACAGUAUCUGGCGAGAGCUGGAGCCCUGAGACAGGGAUGGGGCCUACUGGCACUUGGAAAGUGUACUGGGGUCUUAGUGAACUGAUGUCAUUUCCUCUUCUCUUCCCCAGGAUUUGAGAUUUCUAAAAACAACAACAACAACAACAACAACAACAACAAAACCCUAUACAAAUCUAAAUUAGUUAAAAAAAAAAAAACUAAAGUGGUUGGAUGGGAGCUAUGGCUUAGGAAGAGAAACACAGCCCAUCAAAGAGGGACUAGGGAUUUAAAUAACCCUCUCUUCUCUCUUCCUGUCCAUGCCUUCUGUUGGGUGAAACUAGCAGCCAGAAGGCAAGGGGGCCUGGGUGGAGAUGUCCAGUGGCAUUAGCCUCCCAGGUACAGAGAGAUGCAGAGAAAGAUGCAAAAUAGACCUGGAGUAGCUGAGAAUCAUCUUGUCAUUUGUCACCUAUUAGCCAGUUGCUUUGUCCAAGGCCUUGAGCCUCAGUUUUCUAUAGAGUGGGCAUCAAACUUGUCUACCUCUUGUCUGCCUCACAGGGCCAUGGGGAACAGCCAGUGAAAGUGUUAAAAUCAUUCGCUUGCCAUUUGACCCUCUUCUUCAUCUGCAUUAUCUCACUUAAUUCCUCAACAGCCGGGUAGGGUAUAAGGCAGAGAGGCCAGGGGACAAGGACAGGCAGGCACUUUGGAAUCAGAAGAAGAGGUCAUCAACUGUGGCUCAGCCAAGCUUUUUAACUGUGAGAUCAUGGGAAACUGAAGCUCUCUGAACCUCAGCUAUUGUCUUACUUUGAGCUCCCCCAAAAUCACAUCCUGAGACAAAUAUUUGAGUGCAAAUAGUUCAUUUGGGAGCUGAUCCCAGGAUGCACCAGGAGGGACUGGGCAGGGACUCAGAAAAGGGAAGAAACCCAAUUAUUGGUGUAUUCACAAGUGGGCAACUCGGUCUCAGUGCCACAACUGUGAUGAAGACUGUGCAGGACACAUCCUGGGGUUGGUGGAAUGCAGGGUGCGGGUGCUGGGGUGUUUAUUCACCACCUUCCAUCCCUCACUGGCUGAGGGUUGUUCUUGGAAGUUUUAACUCCCUGGCCAUUUCACACUGCCUGCUGUGGCCAGAGGAGACUCAAGCAGCCAGAGAGUGCCAUGGGGUGGAGACACACAGGAAGCCACAUAGAUGCCCUCCAGCAUGGGCCAGGAGGGAAUGUCUGGGGGACCGACAGCAUCCGUUUUGUUUUUCUAAUUUGUAUGCUAGAGAUGAUGUCUAUGUCACAGGACAGUGACAGAGAUGAAAUGAUUAAUGAUUAAAUGGCUAAAUGUCUUCCAAGUGCCUGGCUCAUAGUAGGUAUCCAAAGAAAAGGAGGCAUUCAUAGUAAAGAUGGGUAAAUAUUCAUGUGUUACAGAUGGAAGCAAAUGGGACUCAAAGAAGUUAAGACAUUUGCCCUAAAUCACACAGACAGUUCUUAAAUGGCCAAGUCAGAUCUGGCCCCAGUUUGUUCCCCUUCCACUCUGCCGUGGCUACCUCCUGUUAAUGGACUAUACAUUUAGAGUGCUUUUGCCUCAUAAAGUGUGUGAAGCUCCAUAAAUAUAAAAUGUUUGUAGUCCCAGCCUUGCUAGCUCAAAUCCAAGUUAAAUUGACUCUUGGGUAGUUCUUCUCUCAGCCCCAAUUCUCAUAAGCUCAAAUAUAUAUUUUCUUAGUCCCCUGGGAUCCUCCAUUCUGUGCCCCAACAAUCCCUAACCCUUCAUUAGUAAUGCCUAGAUGUCUCCACAUAUUUCAAGGGGUGCCAGAAAGUCUCCAGACAAAAUAAAAGAUGCCAUAAAACACCAAGUGCAUAAAACUCUAGACACCUUGUUCUCCAUGUCAUGUUUCCUUUUAAAAACAAAUAUUUUGAAAUGCCCUCUUUACUAUCCUGCUGAUACACACAUAAAAACUAAUAAAAUGCACAAACUCUUUUCUUAAAAAUUGUGGGAAGAUAUACAUAAUAAAAAAUUUACCAUUUUAACC
RNAcentral lists this long non-coding RNA (2918 nucleotides) under Homo sapiens (human). RNAcentral's name for it is "HSALNT0370243". Lineage: Eukaryota; Metazoa; Chordata; Mammalia; Primates; Hominidae. The record is from RNAcentral.